CAGGAAAGUCAGCUUAAAGGACACUCCUUGCAGGGACUGAGCUGGCACCUACUCCUUAGAGCUUGCUGAUACCAGGCCUGCCACGCGACAUCUGCAAGGACAGUUGUUUGGUGUUUUGCUUCAGGUUAUAGAUGGAGAGACCUAUAAAGGACUCCAUGUUUUCGUUGGCCCUGAAAUGCCUUAUCAGUCUGUCCACCAUCAUCCUUUUGGGCUUGAUCAUCGCCUACCACACACGUGAAGUCCAGCUCUGAAUUUGUCUGUUUCCCAUGUUGGGCGUACAUGAAAAAUCUUAUGAAAGAAAUGGCCCCACAGCCCAGAGAAAA
Molecule: long non-coding RNA, 323 nt
Filed under: Homo sapiens (human)
Lineage: Eukaryota; Metazoa; Chordata; Mammalia; Primates; Hominidae
Description: HSALNT0015587
Source: RNAcentral